RNAcentral lists this ribosomal RNA (460 nucleotides) under uncultured bacterium. RNAcentral describes it as "partial 16S ribosomal RNA". It matches the Rfam family "Bacterial small subunit ribosomal RNA", at positions 338 to 795 of the family's 1533-position model. The record is from RNAcentral.
CCUACGGGAGGCAGCAGUGAGGAAUAUUGGUCAAUGGACGAGAGUCUGAACCAGCCAAGUAGCGUGAAGGAUGACUGCCCUAUGGGUUGUAAACUUCUUUUAUAUGGGAAUAAAACGUUCCACGUGUGGGAUUUUGUAUGUACCAUAUGAAUAAGGAUCGGCUAACUCCGUGCCAGCAGCCGCGGUAAUACGGAGGAUCCGAGCGUUAUCCGGAUUUAUUGGGUUUAAAGGGAGCGUAGGUGGAUUGUUAAGUCAGUUGUGAAAGUUUGCGGCUCAACCGUAAAAUUGCAGUUGAAACUGGCAGUCUUGAGUACAGUAGAGGUGGGCGGAAUUCGUGGUGUAGCGGUGAAAUGCUGAGAUAUCACGAAGAACUCCGAUUGCGAAGGCAGUUCACUGGACUGCAACUGACACUGAGGCUCGAAAGUGUGGGUAUCAAACAGGAUUAGAUACCCCAGUAGUC